ACAACUCUUAACGGGGGAUC
Molecule: ribosomal RNA, 20 nt
Filed under: Coenobita cavipes
Lineage: Eukaryota; Metazoa; Arthropoda; Malacostraca; Decapoda; Coenobitidae
Description: partial 5.8S ribosomal RNA
Source: RNAcentral